This 374-nucleotide ribosomal RNA is filed under the name uncultured eukaryote. RNAcentral describes it as "partial 18S ribosomal RNA". It matches the Rfam family "Eukaryotic small subunit ribosomal RNA", at positions 592 to 976 of the family's 1831-position model. The record is from RNAcentral.
CAAUAGCAUAUAUUAAAGUUGUUGCAGUUAAAAAGCUCGUAGUUGGAUUUCUGGGAGGAAUCCAAAGUCCGUCGCUUGACGUGUGCUGCGAAUUCCCCCAUCCUUCUGUUAACGAUUCUUGGUAUUCAUUUACUGGUUUCGGGCUCAGAUAUUUUACCUUGAGAAAAUUAGAGUGUUUCAGGCAGGCUUGCGCCGGAAUACAUUAGCAUGGAAUAAUAGAAUAGGACGUUUUGCUCCUUUGUUGGUUUGAGAGCAUAGCGUAAUGAUUAAUAGGGAUAGUUGGGGGCAUUAGUAUUUAAUUGUCAGAGGUGAAAUUCUCGGAUUUGUUAAAGACUAACUUAUGCGAAAGCAUUUGCCAAGGAUGUUUUCAUUAA